Molecule: ribosomal RNA, 421 nt
Filed under: uncultured bacterium
Lineage: Bacteria
Description: partial 16S ribosomal RNA
Rfam family: Bacterial small subunit ribosomal RNA
Source: RNAcentral
AAUAUGUGACUUUUGGAGCAACCCUGAUCCAGCUAUUCCGCGUGUGUUAAGAAGGUUAUCGGUUUGUAUAGCACAUUACGUUGGGAGGUAGGGCUUUAGGUUCAUACGAUGAAGUUUUGACGUUACCAAAUGAAUAAGAACCGGCUAACUCGUUGCCAGCAGCCGCGGUAAUACAGAGGGUGCAAGCGUUAAUCGGAAGUACUGGGCGGAAAGCGCGAGUAGGUGGUUCAGUAAGAAGGUAGUGAAAACCCCGGGCUGAACCUGGGAACUGCUUUCAUUACUACUGAGCUAAUGUACUGUAGAGGGUAGUAGAAUUUCCUGUGUAGCGGUGAAAUGCGUAGAUAUAGGAAGGAACAUCAGUGGCGAAGACGACCACCUGGGCUAAUACUGACACUGAUGUGCGAAAGCGUGGGGAGCAAAC